CUACCCACCAAGGUCAAUCCUUGAGACUGGCUCUCCUCUGGCCUGCAGGAAGAACUUAACCAUUGGAGGUGUGGGAUGGGGAGCUUGAAAAAUACUGAAUUCAAUUCUUCCCAUUGUACAGAUGGAGACACUGAAGCCAGGAAGGGAGAAAGGAUCAGUCCACACUGCCUGUUUCUUCCAUGUCAUUGAGUAGGAUGCAAAGAUCAGUUCUACUAGCCUCUCUGGAGAUUAUGGGGACCAAAGAGGACUUCAUUUCCAUUUGGGAGAAGGGUAAAAGGAAAGAGAGUGGGGUACUGCAGCAGGAAGGAUGGAGGAUCCAUAUCAAGGGGGAACUUCCGGUGUGAUCAAGCUUUGAUUCCAGGGCCAGUAUAAAUGCACUGCUCAACUGUGGGAAAGGGGCUGGGAUGGAAAUGACACAGGCUGGGCCUGCAGCCAAUGGAACUUCCCCACAGAAGAUGCCACUUAAAAGUGUUAUUAAACCCUCAGGACUUUUAAAGCAGAGAACAAGGUAACUAUGAACACUCUUUAAAGUGAUAUUGAGAGUUCCCAAGAGAGUUCUGUGUCUUUCUCACUUCCCUCUGCCUUGGGAUGGAGACACGUGUCUACCCCAAUGUCCCCCUCUCCUCCCCAGCUCCUGCUCUGUCUUCCAG
RNAcentral lists this long non-coding RNA (650 nucleotides) under Cercocebus atys (sooty mangabey). Its description in RNAcentral is "lncRNA (ENSCATG00000045732.1)". Lineage: Eukaryota; Metazoa; Chordata; Mammalia; Primates; Cercopithecidae. The record is from RNAcentral.